Molecule: ribosomal RNA, 397 nt
Filed under: uncultured bacterium
Lineage: Bacteria
Description: partial 16S ribosomal RNA
Rfam family: Bacterial small subunit ribosomal RNA
Source: RNAcentral
AUACGUAGGUGACAAGCGUUAUCCGGAUUUACUGGGCGUAAAGGGCGUGUAGGCGGUCUUGCAAGUCAGAAGUGAAAUUCCUGAGCUCAACUCGGGCGCUGCUUCUGAAACUGCAGGACUUGAGUGCUGGAGGGGAUAGCGGAAUUCCUAGUGGAGCGGUAAAAUGCGCAGAUAUUAGGAAGAACACCGGUGGCGAAGGCGGCUAUCUGGACAGUAACUGACGCUGAGGCGCGAAAGCGUGGGGAGCAAACAGGAUUAGAUACCCUGUUAGUCCACGCCGUAAACGAUGAAUACUAGGUGUAGGGGGUAUCGACUCCCUCUGUGCCGCAGUUAACACAAUAAGGAUUCCGCCUGGGGAGUACGGCCGCAAGGUUGAAACUCAAAUGAAUUGACGGGG